GUUAACAACUUGUAACAACCUUGUUGCUAUUAUCAGACUUGUUGCAAGGUUGUUCCAACAAGUCCAAUACAAUCAUGAUAUAACAAUAUUGUUACAACCUUGUGUCGUCAACCUUUCGGCAACAUUCUUGUUACAUCAUGCAUGAAUGUAUCACACUUAUUAGAACAACCUUGUAACAAGUCUGAUAAUGCCAUCAAGCUUGUUGCAGGUUGUUAAC
This 217-nucleotide microRNA precursor is filed under the name Paramuricea clavata. The record is from RNAcentral. Lineage: Eukaryota; Metazoa; Cnidaria; Anthozoa; Malacalcyonacea; Plexauridae.